Molecule: ribosomal RNA, 846 nt
Filed under: uncultured archaeon
Lineage: Archaea
Description: bacterial SSU rRNA
Rfam family: Archaeal small subunit ribosomal RNA
Source: RNAcentral
CAAGGCGGACGGCUCAGUAACACGUAGUCAACCUAACUCGUGGACGUGGAUAACCUCGGGAAACUGAGAAUAAACCACGAUAGAUCAUAGUGCCUGGAAUGGCUUAUGGUCCAAACAGUUUACUGCCAUGGGAUGGGACUGCGGCCUAUCAGCUUGUUGGUGAGGUAAUGGCCCACCAAGGCGAUUACAGGUACGGGCUCUGAGAGGAGUAGCCCGGAGAUGGGUACUGAGACACGGACCCAGGCCCUAUGGGGCGCAGCAGGCGAGAAACCUUAGCAAUGUGCGAAAGCACGACUGGGUCAGUCCGAGUGAUUCCUGAUAAAGGAGUCUUUUGCCUGUCCUAAAAGCACAGGUGAAUAAGGGGUGGGCAAGUCUGGUGUCAGCCGCCGCGGUAAUACCAGCACCUCGAGUGGUCAGGACGUUUAUUGGGCCUAAAGCAUCCGUAGCCGGCUCUGCAAGUCUUCGGUUAAAUCCACCUGCUCAACAGAUGGGCCGCUGGAGAUACUACANAGCUAGGGAGUGGGAGAGGCANACGGUAUUCAGUGGGUAGGGGUAAAAUCCUCUGAUCCAUUGAGGACCACCAGUGGCGAAGGCGGUCUGCCANAACACGUUCGACGGUGAGGGAUGAAAGCUGGGGGAGCAAACCGGAUUAGAUACCCGGGUAGUCCCAGCUGUAAACGAUGCAAACUCGGUGAUGCAUUGGCUUAUGGCCAAUGCAGUGCCGCAGGGAAGCCGUUAAGUUUGCCGCCUGGGAAGUACGGACGCAAGUCUGAAACUUAAAGGAAUUGGCGGGGGAGCACCACAAGGGGUGAAAGCCUGCGGUUCAAUUGGAUUCAACGCCCGGAA